This is a long non-coding RNA of Passer domesticus (house sparrow), 4199 nucleotides long. RefSeq lists it as uncharacterized. The record is from RefSeq and is a predicted model, not a curated record. The transcript is spliced from 2 exons. Lineage: Eukaryota; Metazoa; Chordata; Aves; Passeriformes; Passeridae.
CAAGAUAUUAAGGAGAAUUAAUCAAAAAAUAUCUUGGGAGGAGGGCUGGGAAUUAAAAAGGAGGAUUACAGACCAUUACACUACUUGCAUGUACCCAUGUCCACUCCUGAGACCAUGCUCAAGUCAGGGAAGUGACUGCAUAGCCAGGCACUCCUCUUGCACAGCAUGUGUUUGACUUAUAUUAUUCUGCUUCACAGUCAACAACAAAGAUUUAAUUCCUGAUACUAUGACCCUUAUGCAUAUUUUACAAAGCACUUCCAUAGAUUAUGUCAGUGUUAUCUGAAGAGGAAAUCCCUGCUAUCAAAGUUCUGAAAGCAGAAACAUGUAACUACCUUCCUAACCUCAACACGCGGCUUUGCUGCUUGCAAACCACCACACACUUUUUUUUCAAAGCCUGACGAGAUAACAUGUAGGCUAAAUUAUACCAACUACUGACUUAGUUUUAACAAUACUUUUCUGUUCAUAAGCAAUGGGAGAAAGACAACAUCAAAUGGGAAAAUGUGAAGUGGCAUGCUUUUCUAAAGGAUGGUCUCCACAAUCUUCUGAACACAGUCACAGGAAAGUAUUGAAGCUGUGUGUUUCUGCACAACCAAGAGGUCUGUCUUGCUUAGUCAGGUGUAAUUUGCCAAAUUUACAGCACUGCUUUCUCAGUCAAAGGAUUAAUCUCACCAUGUAGGAACUGGCAUAAAAUACAAAAGAGAGUCCUUCAGCAAGUUUCUGAAAUAUCAGAAGAAACAGUUUUCCUUACAAAGUUUAUCAGGGAAAGAAAGAAACCUCUUUCUAGGAAGACUUUCUUGAGUCAAUUCUGCUCCCUCAGAGUAGAUACCAUUCUCAUGACACUCUCCCUCCAGACAUAUUUAUUGGUAAAAUCUUGUCUCAGUCUUCUCUUGUUGAGGAAGACUGUCUUGAAUUCACGACACAAAGUCUUCUCAUUUCAGGUCCUCCUGACUGUUAUUUCUGUUGCUAGUCACUGAUUUUGAAAAAUACAUUCAUAUGCAACCACUUAAAGAUUGGUUUCCAGUCCUGCCAAAGACUACAACUCAAUGGGAAAGAUUAAAAACUUAAAAUAUUUUUGCCUUAGGAAUUCUGACUCCAAAGAAAUUAAGUGCUGCAAGCCUCCUAGUGAUGCUUUUUGCUCCUUGAAGUGGAGAGAUUUUUACAUCUGAACGUGAAAAAUUUAAAUCAGAACGGAAGAGAACCACAUUAUUUUAUUCAGAAAGAGAGAUAACAGCUUUGCAGCUCUAUCUGCAUGCAAUUGAUGAAUCCAUGUUUAAAAAGUGCUUUCUGCUACUAAUCAAUAUUCAUUAGAAUGUGCAAGCACAAAUACCUUUUCUGAUUGUUUAGUAGACAAAGGGAGGUAAAAAUGAAAGCAGAAAUAAACAAUUUGUAUCCUGAACCAACAGCAGUUUUGGAACCAAAAGAUGACUGCAUGAUUUGCCUCAUGGCACUUAGGACACGUAUAGAAAAGGAAGGUGGCUCCAGGCCACUACAAAAGGAACAAAGGCAUCAAUGAAGUUUCUAUCAAAGAAACUCUUUGCCAGUAAUGUUGCAAGAAUCCUGACUGACAUUGUACCAGAUAUAAAGAAAACUCAACCCAAACUCAAAAAAACUAUUUUGUGAUAUAAACACAUUUGCUUCAGAAGACCUUAAAACACCCGACAUUAACUUUUCUGACUGCAAGAAAGAUCAGUUACAAAAGUAUGGAAAAGGACAAAGAAAUUGAAAGGUUUUCUAGAACUUUCUGAAGAAAGGUAAAGUGGUGUUAUCGUAUAUAAAGUUUGAAAACAAAAGAACAAAAACAAAGAAAACAAAGAACUGUUUUACAAUUCCUUUGCAAUUAAGCAAAAUUAGUAGUCUCCCAUAAACCAAAGUUACAUACAAGGUGUGUAACAAGUAAAGUUUCCUACCACUCCAGAGCUCCUUUAAUCUGGUAUUCUGAACUAAAUCAAAAUACCAUUUUGAGAUAACUCUUCUUAAAUGCCAUGAUAAUUUUGGCCUGGGGAGUACCACCCUGUGCAGACUAAUACACAACUACUCUGACUGGACUUCUAAAUAGGGGUUUACAUCAGACAGUGAAAAGCCUCUUUUCUUGCACAGGUUUCAAACUGCUUCUUUGGUAGCUCAGUAAAUAGCGUGGACCCAUGACGCAAAAUAAUAACAGGUAAAAACCAUGGCAGUAGCCCACUGUGCCAACAGGAAGAUGAGGACAAGGGCACAGUAAGAUCUCUGAAUGGUGCGACACCAGGAAGGUUUACUUUCUUGAUGCCUGGGGAAGUUGUUUUGGACAGGAGGAACCUGCAGACCUGGCAGCCAGCAUUUCAGCAUUCCUGGUAGCAGCCUCCUAAAAGAAACACUAGUAACAGCAGCCUGCAGAGAUGUAACAUAAUUGUAAGAGUGAAGACCAUAAUGAGACAAGAUUUCAUUCCCCAAGUAUAUAAAAGAGCCUCUAAGUAUAUAAUAAUUACCAAGCCCAUUUUGGCCACAAUCUUUUUGCCUGGUGGUGCUGGGAGCCCAGGUGGUAAACAAGAGAAGUUGGAAACAACACAAGUAUGAGCAGAUAAACACCAAACUUAGCAUUUCUGAGCUCUGGAUGUAUCUGUUUGAUACAGCAUAGUGCCACAAGAAGAGAGGAAAGAGAACCAACAAAAUCUUUUUGGCACCAGGCUGUUUGGUACCAGGGGUAAUAUACCUGCUUCUCACCAUGUAAGUCAGUCCAGGCACAGCUGUUUAUUAUUAGGUAGUAAGAUCUUACUUCCAAAACCAUCCAAUAGUAAUAAUGUUGAGUUUUUUUCAAAAACUAGAACACAUUUGCAGAGAGUAACAGUGAAUCACUGUUAGUCUCGCUGCGGUUAGAAGGAGACAAGCAUGUGAAGUUCAAAUUAUGUAUUGUGGAACAAAAAGUGACACUGAAUAAGUAAACAGAAGUGUAGAUAACAGUAUAAGAAAACCCCAAAAAUGAAUGAAAUGGCAACAGUCAGCAGAAUUACAGAAAAUACAGUCAUUUUGAAAACCACCAGUUACAAGAAAAAGUUCAGGAGAGUCUAGGUCAAUUGCUAAAUAAAGACGUCACUUAAGUAAAACACUAUGCCCUGAAAACAGGAAAAAAAAGGUAUCAAUUUUAGUAUUCAAGUAUACAUUUUUAGUUACUUGUGUUUCUCAAGAAAGAAAAUGCAAAGCAGUACAGCACAUUCCUGAGGACUAAAAAGUACUGCCUUGUGGCCCAGAAAUGGCUCCUCAGCUGUCAGCUGGCCACCUCUGACCUAGACCAAGCAUAAAACAUUUGCUUGCAGAUGACACAAUGCAGGGGUGGUAAAUAAGAGGAAACAGGUUACUGCUACAGAAUGAGCCAAAGCACUUUGCUUUAACAGACACAAUCUAAGAAAUGCAACUUGAUGGAGACAGGAGGGAGGCAAUACUUCUGGGAACAAAGAAUGCAGGUUUCAUCUAGGUAGAAUGUGUUGAGGAGAAUUUGGGGGACCAUCAUAAGGGCUUCGUUGUGACAUUGUCACCAAAAGAAACAAGGCAAUCCAUACACUGGAAGAGAAAUUACAAGCAGAACUUGAUUCUACACAGCUGUGGUACAGUCACUGUUAAAUCACUGUCUCUGGUUACUCCAUUCACAUUUCUAGGAGGAGGUCACAACAACAGAGUUUAAAGUAGAUCCAAAAAAGGGACUGAUGGGCUGAAAUCCAAAUGGAAGCAGCUGCCUGCCAUCCAGUUCCAGCCUCUGCUGCUGGGAAAAUCAACAACUGCAACUGUGCUACAGACACUUACCUACUGAGAACAGGAGCUACCAUCAGCAUGUGCUGCCCAUGCAAGUCCAGGAGCUGGCUACAGUGCUCUCUACCUCACUGGUCACCUUGGCUAUUCGAGUGCAGAGCUAAAACCAAAGCCCUGUUAACAUCAUCAUUUCUCAAGACAACUACUAAGAGAAAUAUAAUGCAGUGGAUCUAAAAACUACUGGAAGUAAAAGCAAAUCCUCUAGCUUGUCAUCUCACAUCCUUAGAUUCUCACCUGCUCAGGACCCAUGGAGGACAACCCUGAUGUAGGCACAGAGGUCGCUGAGGUCAUGCUGAUCUGCCCUGUCAUCUGGUUCAUGUUGUUCAUACCACUUGUGUUGGUUGCCAUGGAUACACUGAUGUUCAUGUUAUUGUUGUACAUGCUGGUGCUUGCUUGCUGCCCAAAAUGUGGUGGGGACU